RNAcentral lists this unclassified non-coding RNA (242 nucleotides) under Hevea brasiliensis (rubber tree). Lineage: Eukaryota; Viridiplantae; Streptophyta; Magnoliopsida; Malpighiales; Euphorbiaceae. The record is from RNAcentral.
ACUUAAUGUUAUUCGCUUGUUAGCUAAGAUGACUGUUGCUGUUAACAAAUCUGAAAUUGUGGACAUGAUAUUACCCCUUUUCAUUGAGAGUUUAGAAGAGGGUGAUGCAUCAACUCCUGGUUUAUUGCGACUUCAACUUCUUGAUGCUGUAUCCCGCAUGGCAAGCCUGGGUUUUGAGAAGUCUUAUCGGGAGACAAUAGUUCUGAUGACAAGAAGUUACUUAAGUAAACUUUCUAUCAUAG